Non-coding RNA from Camellia sinensis, 1216 nucleotides. The record is from RefSeq and is a predicted model, not a curated record. Lineage: Eukaryota; Viridiplantae; Streptophyta; Magnoliopsida; Ericales; Theaceae.
GUUUAUUUCCCCUUAAACCUAAGCAUGUGUUAGGUUUCUUUGGUCUUUGUUACUAAUAUGUCUAAAUUUAUCAUAACGUUUUGGGUUUUAAUUUGCCUAUGACCUGUGUAUGCAUGUGGUAUUUGUGAUUAGCUUUGAAGAACAAUGCAGUGGUCCAGAGAACAAUGCAAUGACGAAAGAUACAGGAACAUAGAGUUAUCAGAGUGGGAGAGGUGGAUCAGAUCAUUCUCAAAAUGUUCCUAAUGAGGAGAUAGGCGUUGGACAUGGAGGGUCUUCUGGUAGAGGUUAUGGGCUUUCGGCUGUUGGAAAUGGUCCAUCUGUCGAAUCUUAUCGCCGUCAGCAUGAAAUUACUAUUAGUGUUACAUAUCCAACAUCUCGUCAACAUGCCACUUGGUCCUUGGAUGACUUGCCAAGAACAGUAGCUUGUACCAUGCAUCAAGGAUCUACUAUCACUAGCAUGGAUUUUCAUCCUUCUCAUCACACAUUGCUUCUUGUUGGUUCUGCCAUUGGUGAAAUAACGCUCUGGGAAAUGGGGAUGCGAAUAAAUUGGUUUCAAAGCCAUUCAAGAUAUGGGACAUGGCAAAUUGUUCUAUGCCGCUUUAGGUUCCUUUUCAUCUCUUUGUGCUGCUUCAUUUUUAUUACUUCCCUUUUCUUAAACCUUGUUGCUUGUUAUCUUAGCAUUCUAUGAUGUGAUAUAUACCUAUGACAUGAGAUAUCUACGUAGGUUGUAAACAGCAUGUAUAAAUUAAUUGUGACCAGAUUAUUUAUUGCUUGAUUUGGGGACAUUUAUAAUACUAAUCUUCAACUAGCUGUUGUCAAAUAUUAUUAUUUAUUUAUUUUUUUUAAAUUCCCAUUUGGAAUGUUGAGAUCAAAGUGAUAAUUUGGAAAAGAAGUCUCCAAUUGAUGCUAACAUGCAGGAACCCUAAUCUUUGUGUGUUGGGCAUUUAUAAUACUAAUCUUCUGUAGGUUAUUGAGUUUGCCCUGGCUUUGCAGGAAGCUGGGUGCUUUUCUAUUGUUCUAAAAUGUGUGUUUGCACCUGUUGCUGCUGCUGCUGCAACAUCUGCUCUUCGAAUCCCUACCAUUGGUAUUGGUGCAAGGACUUUCUGUAGUGGCCAAGUUAAUUGAUUCUUUAGCUUUCUGUAGUACUCCGAAUAAUGAAUUAGACUUGACUGGUUUGUGUUGUGUAUAAUCUUUUUACUUUCAUUUGUACAUAUAA